GUAGGGAAUAUUGGGCAAUGGAGGCAACUCUGACCCAGCCAUGCCGCGUGCAGGAUGACGGCCCUCUGGGUUGUAAACUGCUUUUAUACGGGAAGAAAAAAUACUACGUGUAGUAUACUGACGGUACCGUAAGAAUAAGGAUCGGCUAAUUCCGUGCCAGCAGCCGCGGUAAUACGGAGGAUCCAAGCGUUGUCCGGAUUUAUUGGGUUUAAAGGGUGCGUAGGCGGAUCUUUAAGGCAGUGGUGAAAGCCUGCAGCUUAACUGUAGAAUUGCCAUUGAAACUGAAGAUCUUGAAUGUGGUGAAAGUAGGCGGAAUGUAUCAUGUAGCGGUGAAAUGCUUAGAUAUGAUACAGAACACCGAUAGCGAAGGCAGCUUGCUGAACCAUUAUUGACGCUGAGGCACGAAAGCGUGGGGAGCGAACAGGAUUAGAAACCCUGGUAGUCC
Molecule: ribosomal RNA, 445 nt
Filed under: uncultured bacterium
Lineage: Bacteria
Description: partial 16S ribosomal RNA
Rfam family: Bacterial small subunit ribosomal RNA
Source: RNAcentral